RNAcentral lists this ribosomal RNA (104 nucleotides) under Escherichia coli. Its description in RNAcentral is "partial 23S ribosomal RNA". It matches the Rfam family "Bacterial large subunit ribosomal RNA", at positions 2822 to 2925 of the family's 2925-position model. The record is from RNAcentral. Lineage: Bacteria; Pseudomonadati; Pseudomonadota; Gammaproteobacteria; Enterobacterales; Enterobacteriaceae.
GAGUCCUGAAGGAACGUUGAAGACGACGACGUUGAUAGGCCGGAUGUGUAAGCGCAGCGAUGCGUUGAGCUAACCGGUACUAAUGAACCGUGAGGCUUAACCUU